Molecule: ribosomal RNA, 473 nt
Filed under: uncultured bacterium
Lineage: Bacteria
Description: bacterial SSU rRNA
Rfam family: Bacterial small subunit ribosomal RNA
Source: RNAcentral
CGCUGGCGGCGUGCUUAACACAUGCAAGUCGAACGGUGAAGCAGGAGCUUGCUCUGUGGAUCAGUGGCGAACGGGUGAGUAACACGUGAGUAACCUGCCCUUGACUCUGGGAUAAGCGUUGGAAACGACGUCUAAUACCGGAUAUGUACUGCGACCGCAUGGUCUGUAGUUGGAAAGAUUUUUUGGUCAAGGAUGGACUCGCGGCCUAUCAGCUUGUUGGUGAGGUAAUGGCUCACCAAGGCGACACGGGUAGCCGGCCUGAGAGGGUGACCGGCCACACUGGGACUGAGACACGGCCCAGACUCCUACGGGAGGCAGCAGUGGGGAAUAUUGCACAAUGGGCGCAAGCCUGAAUGCAGCAACGCCGCGUGAGGGAUGACGGCCUUCGGGUUGUAAACCUCUUUUAGUAGGGAAGAAGCGAAAGUGACGGUACCUGCAGAAAAAGCACCGGCUAACUACGUGCCAGCCGCCGC